This is a long non-coding RNA of Alligator mississippiensis (American alligator), 7579 nucleotides long. RefSeq lists it as uncharacterized. NCBI's taxonomy places the organism in Eukaryota, Metazoa, Chordata, Crocodylia, Alligatoridae. The transcript has 2 exons. The record is from RefSeq and is a predicted model, not a curated record.
CUUAAGGGAGACACUCCAGCAGUAGCAGAAGGGGACCAGAUGAGCUGCGCCUUUGCAAUUUCUAAUUUGUACAGGAGGAAUCUUGGGAAUAUACCUAUUCCUUCUGCCAGUUUGGAUUGAGGGUCCUAGCCCCUUGUGCUGUGGAGUAGGUGGUCAGGAAAUGUGUUUGAAUUACCAGCUCAUUUAAGGUGUGCCAUGAGACUACAGCAGGUCAUUAGUCAAUCUGUAAUGUGUGUGACAUUAGCCAGAAGUAAAUUAGAGGCCAAAUAACCCCUAAUGAAUGAGUGUGACUCAAAUUUCACAGUGAAAAUACACUGAGCACAUAGUAUUGGACUUCCAGCAAUGAGCAAGAAGUAUUACUGCAAUUCUCCAAAGGGACCACGUGAGUUAAGAGGUGCAGACAGCCUGAAUUGGUGAUGAGGUGCAGGUGGAGAGGAUCAGGCCCCUGGGUGCCUCACCAGCUGGAAGCAGUAAAGGGGCUAGCUGAGAGAGCAUAAGGGAGGUGGUUGGGGUGGCUUUAAUAGUUGGGAGGAAGAAAGGAUGACUGGAUGGGUCUUGCUUGUUAAAGCUGAAGGAUUGGGUUUUGGUUUUUGUUUGUUUUGUCUUUGUUUGAGGAAGGCUUGGAAUGGGUGAUGUGUUAAGGAGCUGGAAAGACCUGUGCAAGCCCAGGUUGCAGGGGCCUGACUAGUUCUCAGACCUUCAGAGCCAGGUGGACAGUAUCUCUGCUUACUGCCUCGCAGCUUGAAGUCAGGCCUGAACUGCUGAAGUGGGAGUUGCAGAAUAGGCUUUUGAAGCUGGGUGAAGAGACCUGGGAAGUCUGCAGUCUGCUGGAGGCUGGAAACUUCAUGGAACAGACUGACCAAAGAAUUGUCAGCUGUUGCUUAACUAAGGCAGUGGAAGAUGGACAGCCAUCCCAGGUGCCUUUGUAACAAGAGACCAGUCGCAUGCAACUGCUCUUCUCUCCAGCAGUGGGCCAGCCACCUGUUCCCCAAACCUUGGGACUUGUCAGGCUGUGAAGAGAUGAGCCUGCAGCCCUUCAGGGAUCAGGACUUCUUUUGCAGGCUUGGACAAAGACUUAAGGUACAGUCAUGGCUCCCAUAAUUGCCACCCCUCAGUGGAGAAAAGGAGCAGGUGACCUGUUCAGUCUGAUGCCUUAUUGUUACAUGCCAAAGCAAGAGAACACAUGCUUGUUGCAGUGCAUGUCCAGCAACCCACAAGUGCACAACAAAUUCUCACUUGCACCAACUGGGGAAACUUGGGAGGGAGGUAGCACGCACUGGCAGCAGCUGGCUUAGAAUCUGGGAAGUUCUCGAACUUUCCCUUGUAGUCUGUGCCCUGUGUUUAGAGACAGCUUGUUCCAGUACCAUCGCAAAGGCUGUGACCUGUUUUUAUUGACAUUGCUUGGUUUCCCUGGAACCUCUUGGAACUGAAGCAAAGCAGUUCUUGUAUGGAUUGUGAAGGUGUCAGUUAGGUGGGGUUUUCACCUUUCUGAGCAAGAUGCAGAACCUUUCCUUCCAGAACUGUAUCUUUCCCCACACCAUCGUGGAACGCUGCUGCUGCUGUUGCCUGCACCUAUUGUGUGUUCUUCUCGCCUCUGACUUAUGGUCCAUGCUGGCAAAGCUGCUAGAAUUAUGGAAAAGAAAAAAGCUUUGUUCCAAGGAACUGGACACGUGGGUAGAUAUAUUUUCCUCUAACAGAUGCAUCUGGUUAGAUCAGUUGCUGUUACUAAGGCUUUCAAGCCAAAGGCAUGAUGCUGUGUAUUGGGAUGGUCUACUUAAGUAUGCCAUCAUUUAGGCCGUUUGCUCUAUUUGCUUUGGCUUAGUUGGAUGAGUUGAUUUAUUCCUUUCCUUGACUGAUGAAACAACGGUAAUAUCUGUAAGGCUCACUUGGUAUCCUAGAAACAGUUUGGAUGCCUCCUGCUUGAGCCAUGCUAUUGUAGUAUGGCUUAAGAAUUGCGAAUGGCCAUGAUGGGCCCGAAGGGAGGAUUACCAUAUGGAGUUAGCAAGAACACCUUAUCACUUGGAGACUAACUGGCUAUUUAUAUAAAAAUAGGUGGUGGGGUACUACAGCUGUUGCCUUCAGCUACUAUUAACACGUUCCGAGAGACAACUCCUUGUUCCUCGUCUAGCGCAUUACUGUUGCCCUCAACCAAGAGACUUCCUUCCUUUUUUUUUUUUUUUUUUUUUUUCCCCAGGCUAUGGCUUGGUAGUGUGUAGAUUAUGCUGCUCUAGAUUAGCAUAAGCACAUAGUAUCCCCAAUACCAACUUGUGCAAGGUCCACUGUCUGCACCUGUCAUUGUGUGGCUCCAGUUACUGACCACAGCUCUGGCCUGCACAUCAGCAACCAGCUCCAGGAUCCAGAAACUGGACUGUUCAGUCUUCCCUAAGGCAGUGAGAUCUGGUGGGUUCCAGGUUAUCCUGCACAGUCCCUGCAGGAGAGACUGCCUACUAUGGUGGUGUCCUCAAUGGUGAAGGCUGCUGCCUGUCAAUGUGAUCUACAGACCUGCCUCGGGGACCCUUGCUGCCAGUUACCCUCAAGCUGUCUGCCAAGCUAAGCUCCUGCUGGAAGAGGUGGAGGUUAGAGCAGGACAUGGACUACAGCUCCAGACCAAGACCGCACUGAGUCCAGCUAACGAAGUGGGACCCAGACGGCCUUGUGCUGAUGUCUCUGGCCACCUGAUGGAAGUUCUGGCUGCAUGGCCAAGUCCUGGAAGAAGGUAAUGACCUGGCUCAUCCACAAAAACAGUGAGCCUGACCAUGUGCAUCCCUGAAGGGCCCAUCACCCUUUGCUCCACCAUAUUUAAAUGUAAACAAUAUGCUGGGCCACAACACAGCUCAGAUCAUGGACUGGGCAGUGAAUGGGUGGAUUGUAGCCUGAACCAGAAAGCUUUCAUGUCCAGCGAGGGCUGUUGAAUGCACCUUGGCUGCUGAUGACCCAUGACAGCACCCAGACAGCAAGGUGUCCACGUGGAGGUCAGUGCAGGCCUCUGGCUCAGUGCCUCAGCCAUGCGUCUUCCAGGAGCUGGGAUAUCAGGCCAGAUGUCCACACAUGGUCCCCAAGGCCUACAACAGCUACACUGUCACUUCCUGAUCAUAAUGGUGAAAUGCUGUUCCGAACUUGAAAUGAGGCUGCCUCCCAAGUCCCACCAUUGGAGGCUUACUAAGGGCCCAGGACCAAAAGCUAAACCUCCUGGCUUCUGAGGGUGACUUGAUGAACUCCUGAAGGUGCUGGACAACCGCUGUGAGGCAGCUGACUGAACAGAGCUUUUGUUCCCCUCCAGUCCAAGGUGCCCAUAUACAUCAUCACCUCUGGAAAGAGAAACUUAUGGCCCCCAGUAACAGGAUCCUGGGUGAGCCCAUGAGAUACAUGAAGGGUAGUGAGGCUUACCUCAGCCUUGGCUCAGACAUGGAUCACUGUGCAAAUGGAUGUGGGAGAACAUCAUGCUGGGGACCAGUUAGGAUGCCUACCAAUUGGACUAAUCUGUGGGUACCCUGGAAGAAGAUGCAGGGAGUACCUUGUCUCUGGCUGCAGCUUUUGGCCCUGUUCCAUCUUGACAGCGGCUUCCAGUUCCAGUACCAACCCCCUGAUACCCCCAGUCCCUAGGAAACCACUUUGGACUGCCCUCCAUGCUUCAAGUAUCCAAUCAUUAGGCCAGACCACCAAUGCCUCAGUCCCAACCUUUUACCUGGACCAGUCUUUUUGGAGCUGUGGGGCAGGACCCAAAGUAGAAAUACAAACUCCGUUCUGCCCGAGAAUCCCUGCAAGCCCUCCAACCCCCUGAAUCCCAAGAAAUGAUUGCCCAUCUCCAGCAGGCAGUUCAGCAGCUCCAGGCACUGUUUGAACAGCUAGAGGGGAAAAACCAGAGCUGUUGGACUGCCUGGAAGGGGCACAGGCUAAAGCUGGAGCCUGGCAAAUGCUGAGCAAAACCAUCCCCAAGAGAUGAAGCAACAAUCGAGCCUUGGCUGGGGCCCUGCUGUCAGAAGACUGCUGCUGCUACCACAAGUCCCACUCCCAGUGCACUUGAGCCAGAUCCAAAGAAGUGUUUUGGGAUUCCUGGGUCAGUGUUGCCUGCUCUUUCCACUGUGCCCCAUCAUCUGUUCCACAGACCAGGCCAAGAUGGGAUUAAUGAUUGGCCUGCUUGCAGGGAGAAGUCCUGACCCGGGCUUCCUUGCUCCUCGAGGGCUUCAGUCUUUCAAAUGUCCAUCCAAGCCUUACAGGGAAGAAGUCCCAUAGGCACCUGCCCACCCCUUGCAGUUCAUCUCUGCCAAAAUAGCCCCCUAAAAUCUUCAGCAUGGCAGCCAGCUAAAGCCCACAGUGGCUCGCAUUCAGUGGUAGGCCCCUGGCCUCAAGUGGAAUGAGGUGAUUGAAGUUGUGGCAAUUCUGCCAGAGGCUUAGUGAGGAGCUGAAGGAUGAACUUGUUCCUGUUGAGUCCCCUGCUUGCUUGGGGCCCUUGACUGAGCUCUUUGUGGAUCUACCACUGCCUUCCAGAGGAGUGUGUGGAAAAGAUGGCCAUGAGAGGGGACCCCACACCACAAUCCCAGGUCUCCUGGUGCCCCAGGAAGAUCUACUGCUCUAGAAAUCCAGGGAACUGUAUCUGUGGGAGACCUAGAACAACCAGCUGUGAGCUUUGGGCCUCUGCUAGUCUUGUGGAGCACAAGGACCUUGCCCAUGCCAUCUGGUUAGCAGUACAGCUGUCAGUCCUUGUGGGCUUGGGUGCUAUGGACAACUUAAUGGACAAGUGUUUCUGCAAAGAGAGGUGCCUCCUAGUGAGGCACAGGGUGAACCCCAUUACAAUGGAGUAGUCCAUUGUGGGCAUCCUACUCAACUUGGAUCCGGUAACUUGGGACAUUUGUUUUGGCUGCAUGGGGUGCUUACCUGUACUGUAUCAGUCUUGGGCCCUCUGUUCAUGUCCAACAUGUGGGAUUUCCUGUCCCUUUUGGGGGUAGAGCAGGAGCUCUAGUCUGUCUGACACUGGCAGACAAGGCAGAACCAGGUGCUGGAGCAAUGCUAAAUGAGGCUUCCUUAACUGCCAUCACCACGACUGGCUUGUGCUCCUGCCCGUGCCUAAAUCUGCAUACAACAACUUGGAUCUGUCAUCCAGCCAGUGCAGCCCCUUGAUGCCAAGUGUGGGUUUCAUCCCUACUUCCCCACAGUCCUGUCCAACAUCUCCACCCAUGUAGUCACAGAACUGGGAACCCACUUGCAGUGUAUAAAUGAUGACUUGAAGUACCACCACUAGCCUGCCAAGGAGGUCUAGUUUUAGGCUACAAACAGUGCUCGGGGGGGCUCCACAUCCAUUGUAGGAGUAAAGAAUCGCUCUCUUCCUAAUACCUGAAAGCCACCUCUCAACUCUGACAAGCAAGAUCUUGGGUAUCUAGGACUCUAUGCCAUCUCUGCAGUCACCAACAUGGUGUCCUUCUGCUUGUAGCUAUCUGAUGUUCUGCGUGCCCACCCUGUCUUCUACAUCUCCCUGGCAAAUCUAUGCACAAAGACAACCUAUUCCUGGCAGUCCCCAAACCAUCCUCUUUGGCUGGGGGCAUAAGGAAUUCCAACUCAAAAAAUCACCAUUGACAACCAAAAGUUAGGGAGGAAAUGGUAUUAAUGUGUUUGACUGGCAAGGUUAUGGACUGGCAGACUAUUUCUAGCAACCUGCAGAAAAUGCAUGAGCCCCUGACCUAGUACGAGCCUUCUAUCAGAGCCUCCCAAAGAAGGCUAGCCCAAAAGCCCCCACUUCUAGCACAAUGCCUGGAUAUACUGUAAGGAGGCCAGAUCAGGGCCCUGGACUUGCAGGUUCUCAAUCUGAUCUUAUCUCCUGAGCAGGUGGCAUCUCAGCAAGGUCAGAGCAGAAGCCUGGUCCCACCUGGGCUCAAUGAGGCCAUCCAGGCAGUCAAGCUCCUGAAGCCACUUCCUAGUCUAACAGAAGCCAGACCAGAAACGGUAGGCCUCUGCUGGCUUUUGUCAUACUCUCAGUGGUUCCUGGCCCAUCCCUGUGGAUGGCAUUUUUAAAAGGUUGAUUUGAGAGGGAGAGAGUGAAGACAAGGGUGGAGAGUGGCACAGGAGUGGUCAUGUUUUUAUUUAUAUUUUAGAUGGUGCCCAAGAUGUUUUACCCUCGAGCUUUACUGACCACUUCAUGCUAAAAGGGGUGGUGAGUAUGGAGAAAUGUUGUGUAAUGAUGGGUCUUCUGGAAAUACAAAUAUGUGGUUGGAGGAGUGUAGGGGCUGUAGAGAGCUCUUGUAAGGGGUGGCGGGCACUGUAAAUCUGUGUUAGGAAUAUGUGGGAAUGGUGGCGCACAGUGCUGACGUCUCAGCAGUAUGUGCAUAGUGCUGAAGGAAAGGAACUGAGCAGUUUGUCAUGAGAGCGGGUGGUAGAGGAUGAGGUCAAGGAGGGAGAGCUUGAGGUGAAUUUGUGCUCCAGUGCCUCUUAAUGCCUGUGGAGUGGGGCAGGGCAUUCGGGACUGACCUGGAUGUCAUCAAGAGGGCCACAGGAAAGGCUUGGUUUGUUUUAUUCAUGUCCCGUGAACAGAGAGGGCUGGUCUUGCUACUGUUGGAUAGGUGUAAGGACUUGGCUGUUAAAAGGGUGCAGCAGUGCACUAGACUGCUGAGGGAAGUUGUGGAGCCUUCAUCACUGGGGGUGUUGAAAAAGAGGUCGGGUAAACAUUGAUCAGGAAUGAUCUAGGAGUAACUGUGCCUAUGCUUUACUCUGCUUGUGUCUCAUGAGGCAACCAGUGAAGCCCAGAAGCAUGAGGCUGGGAAAGACUCUUUUCUUUGUCCUUUGCUGUGUGUUGUGGUAGGCAUAUUCCUUCCUCAGGAGCGCUGAGCGACUGUCACCAAGGCUGGAGACUGCCAAUACUCCUUCCUCAAGUAAAACCUGUAGGUUCCUGGCUAGAGGGACUUGCCCCUUUGCUCAGGGUCAAGCUGGUCACCCAGUUUGAGGUCAGGAAGAAGUUUUACCCCUUGGUCAGAUGGGUACAGAUUGUGGGGAUGAGUGCCUUCUUGUAGCAGGGGCAUGGACCUCUUCCUUGUGUGCCAUUCAGCAUCUUUUAACAACCCUUGCAGAAGGAGGACAUGGGUUACUAUUGCCACAGGCGAAGCAAAAGGACAUCUUGGGGUCGUAUGAUUUGUGGGUGUGUGACAAUGCCAUUGGUUUAGUUCUAGUAGUAAUAUGGUGCUGUGGGUAGAGAUGACCCUGCCUUGGGCAGGGACUGGACUAGAGGACCUCUUGUGGUCCCUGCCAGCUCUGUCUUUCCGUCUUUUGAGGAAGAAGUGGUACCCUGAUCAGAAUGCCCCUGUGGAGAAGGGGAUGAUCUGUGGAAGCCAUGCAAAGAUUUCACCAUGGGAUGUUGAGAGGAGGGAUGUGGGCAUGGUAAUGCAGCCAUCUUAAUGGUGAUCCCUACUGUGCCUUCAGGUUAUUCCUGCUGCCUCGCUGUUCGCUGCUCUUUGCCUUAAUGCUCUUUCUAAUGACAUGCCCCGUGACUUGUUUCUUGCUAGAGGAUGUUUUGAUCUUCAUGUAGGCUGUACAGCACGCUUUCUGCCUUCUAUUUUUUUAUUAAGGAAAUAUUAAAUAUUUCUUUAUCUCUCCA